This 253-nucleotide ribosomal RNA is filed under the name uncultured bacterium. RNAcentral describes it as "partial 16S ribosomal RNA". It matches the Rfam family "Bacterial small subunit ribosomal RNA", at positions 524 to 776 of the family's 1533-position model. The record is from RNAcentral.
UACGAAGGGAGCUAGCGUUGUUCGGAAUCACUGGGCGUAAAGCGCACGUAGGCGGAUGUGUCAGUCAGGGGUGAAAUCCUGGAGCUCAACUCCAGAACUGCCUUUGAUACUGGGAAUCUCGAGUCCGGGAGAGGUGAGUGGAACUGCGAGUGUAGAGGUGAAAUUCGUAGAUAUUCGCAAGAACACCAGUGGCGAAGGCGGCUCACUGGCCCGGUACUGACGCUGAGGUGCGAAAGCGUGGGGAGCAAACAGG